UACGAAGGGGGCUAGCGUUGCUCGGAAUGACUGGACGUAAAGGGCGCGUAGGCGGCUCAGUAAGUCAGGUGUGAAACCUCCAGGCUCAACCUGGAGACGCCACCUGAUACUGCUGUGGCUAGAGUCCGGUAGGGGAGCGUGGAAUUCCUGGUGUAGCGGUGAAAUGCGCAGAUAUCAGGAGGAACACCAGCGGCGAAGGCGGCGCUCUGGGCCGGAACUGACGCUGAGGAGCGAAAGCGUGGGUAGCAAACAGG
RNAcentral lists this ribosomal RNA (254 nucleotides) under uncultured bacterium. Its description in RNAcentral is "partial 16S ribosomal RNA". It matches the Rfam family "Bacterial small subunit ribosomal RNA", at positions 524 to 776 of the family's 1533-position model. The record is from RNAcentral.